RNA transcript from Amblyraja radiata (thorny skate), 3729 nucleotides. It is a transcript of the gene named CXADR like membrane protein a, with no coding region annotated. The transcript has 8 exons. The record is from RefSeq and is a predicted model, not a curated record. NCBI's taxonomy places the organism in Eukaryota, Metazoa, Chordata, Chondrichthyes, Rajiformes, Rajidae.
AACUAAAGAUUGUAGCUUUUCAUUUAUUUCAUGUUGAAAUCAACAUGCUUUUAAUAUUGAAAUAAAACUUGCAAGAAGGAACAGAGCCAGUCACAAGUCAGCAGCAAGUCAUUCUGUGCUCACACAGAAAUGUGUUAUACUUUUAGCAGACUUUAGGUUAGACUUGCUCUCUGCAAUUUUCAGACAGGAAAGUGUGUGCAAUGUCAGUUCGGGCAGUCACAGUUCUCCGUUCACCCGUUGAAACCAAUCAAUCAACCUUCAACUAAACGGACCUGUCAUAUCAAAUCCCUGGAAAGACGGUUCCAGCACACUCCACUGCUCAUCUGGGCAGCUGCAAUGAACGGAAUGGGUUGGGAAAGGGACAUCUUGGAGAGUCGAGCGUUGUGAAGAUGGAAAUAUCCCGCAGUGGCAUCCCCCUCUCUUGAUGUUUCAAUGUGCUCAGGUCUGUCCCAGCAUUCCAGUCCCAAAAAACAAGGAGGCGGAGAAUAUCAGCACGAAAUUUCCUCAUCAAUUUAUGGAUUAAAUGCCGAAUUUAUAAAGCCAACAUGAUUUUGCCCUCUCUUACUUUGGUUCUGAUGGUCGGUUGUAUCUGCUUCUCGACUGCUACUGAAAUAAAGAGGAUUGAGGAGCAGGAUGUUGUGCUACCAUGUCAGCAUCGGUUUGGUCAUUUAGUAACAAAGAACCUGGAUAUUGAGUGGCUUUUACAGGAGUCUGACCGAAAUCAGAAAGUGGUGAUCACUUAUUCGUCGGGCUCUGUGUAUGAGAACGUAAGUGAAAAGCAGAGAGGGAGAAUCUCCUUUGCAGCAGAUUACUUGAUGGGUGAUGCUUCCAUCAAAAUUUCUUCCCUGCAGGCGACAGAUUCUGGACUGUACACAUGCAAAGUGAAAAAUGCAGGAGAGUAUGAUUUGAAAUCUGCCAUUAAUCUUGUGGUCUUGGUUAGACCCUCGAAACCUAUGUGCUGGACACAAGGGCAGCUUCUGCAAGGGAAUGACAUUAAACUUCAGUGUAGGUCGGAAAAAGGCACUGAACCUAUCUUCUACAGGUGGCAACAUAUUUCGGAUACUGAGGGACAGCAGACCAAAUUUCAAACUCGUUCACACAUAGAUUCGAGAACACCAGAAAUGCUGCUACUGAGGAACUUAAGCCACACAAAUGCCGGAGUGUACCAGUGCAGUGCCACAAAUGAAGCAGGGCAGCAAAGUUGCUUUGUGAAUAUAACAAUUACGUAUGCAAAAGACCCUGGGAUCAUUGCUGGUGCUGUUAUUGGAGUUAUGCUUGGUCUCCUGCUAAUCUUCCUUAUUGUUUGGUGCACAUUGUACAGGAAAACAAAGCGCAAAUAUGAGGAAGAAGAACAACCAAAUGAGAUUAGGGAAGAUGCAGAGGCACCAAAGGCAAAGCUCAAUAGCACGCAAUCCUCAGUGGGCACUGGAAGCACACAAUCUGGAUCCUGCUCAGUUAAGUCCAUCCGAAAUGGUACCCCUUAUUCCCAGCAACCUCGCACACCAUCGACCAAAGAAGACAAAGGACCAGUUUCUUACACAACAACAGAGGAAGUCAAGACCAAUAAAAAUGGACCUACACAGGCACAUAUGAGAAGAUUGGGUGCUGUCCCUGUUAUGAUACCGGCUCAGUCCAGGGCUUUCCAGACUGUGUGAAUACAGUUUAGUUGGCAAAUUACUGGGUAAUUCGGGAGCUUUCACUAUUUAGUGGAGAUAUUGAUCUUAGGAUGCCUGAUCUAAACUAGUAUGAUAAAGCAGUCACUAGAUGAACCACCUGUGUAUAUUUGGUUCUAUUGACUUUAAUGGAUCAGGAUGAUGGGUUGGGAGUAAGUUUGGUAUUGAAUGAGGUUUAAUGCUGGCAACCAAAGAUGAAUUUCUCCUAUUAAAUUUAAAACAGUCAAGUGUGAAAUGUCCUCACCCACUUUUCCGAUGUUGAUUUGAGCAAAUUAAGCUCAGUAAACUGGGUGGAAUUACAUAAACCAGAUAUCAUCUCAUUUAUUGACUGGAUCUCCAGAAAAUCCAGCUAUCUUUUGAACAGAUGAAUCUAGUUUGCACAUUCUUAAUUUAGGCCUUUAAUUUUGCCUGAAUGCCAUAUGGAUCUAAUGAAAACUUGUAUUAGUUUGUGGGAUAUUUUAAUGUUGUUCUGUGUUAGGUAAGUGAUGCUCACAAUGUUUUAAAGUGUUAUUGAAAAUAGUUUACCUCGGGUGGUUGUAAAAGGUACCACGAUACUAUUUCAAAAGAAGAGCAGGAGAGUUAUCACUGGUGUCCUGGGCAGUAUUUAUUCCUCUGACAACAUUACUGUAAAACAGCUUAUCUGGUUACUAUCACAUUGCAUUUAGUGGGAGCUAGUUAUGCAUAAAUUGUCUACAGCAUUUCCUACAUUACAGAUGACAUUACAAUGUAAAAGUACUUUGUUGGCAGUAAAGCAUUUUCAAAGGACCUGAGGCAAUGAAAGGCACCACAGAAAUCCAAGUUUUUACUUUCUCUUCUAUUUUAUUCCAGCCUGCAAACGGAUUUAAUUUUGCUAAGAUUGCACUGGGAUCCUCCUGUGUGAAGAUUCCAGAUCAACCCGGUGGUUAGCCUAUUCCCAAUAUGUUUUUUUUAAAUCAUAUUUACAGUCAGUUCCACAUGAAUUAAUAUUGGGCAUUCUUUUUGUCCAUCUCAUUCCAUUACAUAUAACAGGAUUUCUUGGCAAUUUUAGGCUGUGCAUAUUUAGUACUAACAUACACACAAAGGAAAAAUGGCAAUCAAACUAGUCAUCUGCAAUAAGCAGUUUGUCUGAAGAAGGGUCUCGACCCGAAACGUCACCCAUUCCUUCUCUUCAGAGAUGCUGCCUGUCCCUCUGAGUUACUCCAGCAUUUUGUGUCUGUCUUCGGUUUAAAUAAGCAUCUGCAGUUCCUUCCUACACAUGAAUUUAAAUAUAUCAGCUUUUGGAGGAUCAUGCACAUGCAUUCUUAAUGUAAUGGGAAAACAUGCAUGUGCAUCUAACACCUUGCAUUUAUACAGUAUUUUUGUAUGAUUACUAAGUUAGGCCCAUGCCCUUGCUUUCCCCCCUCCCCAACCUUUCUUGUGCAAAUCCCUGUGAAUGGUGUACUAAUAUUCUUUGGUUCAGGACAUUCUAUUAAUCUGCUAUUUUUAGAAUAUGUGCCUAAAUAAAGCAUUGUAAAUAUAACUUGAGUAUUAAUCAAAGUAAACCACUUUAACAUUCAGUGGAUGCUCUACAUGUUUUAUUUGGUUAGAUACAAAAAUAAAUAGGAAACCAUAACAUUUCAUGCUGCAAAAAAAGCUGUGAUUCAGUCCUAACUAAUAGUCAUAUAUGGAAAGAAUAGAGAAAUUGUGGGUAGAAUGAAUGGAGCUUAAAUUUUCUUAUCAAAAUUAAAUAGUGCUAAAUGUUAAAAGGGAUAACGAAAAUGCUGUAAUUCUUGGACUGUGGUAUAAUGUUUCCUUUUAUAGUUCUGUUUGAAGUUUUCUCCUUAAAGAUGCUUCAUUAGAAAAAUUAAAGAGACUCCAACCUUUAAGGGAUCAUCUUUAAACUGUCAUACACGAUGCUUGCUCACAUCUCAAUGCAUAGUAUGACAUGAAAGUAAGAACACUGUUCCUGCAAAAUGCAACACAAAUUAAAGUUUCUUAUUUCAAGUGUAAAUGUAUAUUUUUGUAAUUUACCACAACAUGUUCUGUUUUGGAUGUUGUAAGUAAUCUCCAUAAAAUUAAAAUAAAAAGGCCAAUCAUC